This 3031-nucleotide long non-coding RNA is filed under the name Heterocephalus glaber (naked mole-rat). RNAcentral describes it as "lncRNA (ENSHGLG00100035114.1)". The record is from RNAcentral. Lineage: Eukaryota; Metazoa; Chordata; Mammalia; Rodentia; Bathyergidae.
GAAGCAGCCGGGCACCUGGCCGCGUGCGGCCGGAGGCUGCGAGCGCCCGGGAUUGAGGUGCAAUCUCUAGGUUGGACCCUGGGCCACCUAUCCAAGCCCCCUGAUAUCUGUGGUCCUCCAUCCAUCUGGGCCAGUGACCCGCUGCUCAGGGUGCUGUUCACACUUGUUCCUUGGCACCCUGGGACGUGUGGCGUUUGUGGAGAAUUCCGCCAGUAGACACCUCGGUCUUCUGAUCCUCCGCGGCGGCUUCGGUGACCAAAGACUGAUAGGAAUGGGUGAAUAGGGAGUGGCUUCGAAAUCACCAACAGGCAACAUUCCCUAGGAGCAAAGUCUAGGAGCCUGGGUUCCACUGCAGGACGUCACACCAUGAAAAAUACCUGACUUCUAAAGGAGGCAGGUUGCAGCCUGCCUGGCCUGCAACAGGCCUGAUAAUGAACCAGUGUUCUUUCAACUUCGGAACCAUGCUCUGCAUUCAGGUGCUGGUGACACUUGAACAGAACGAUGGGCUCAAAUCCACUCACCUGGCUGCUCUGUGAAGUUCUCUGCCUAUAAGCCCAGCUGAAGGUGUCCUUGGUGUGACCUUCAGCCCUGAUGGUGUUUUGGAGAGUGGCAGACCAAAGCCAGAGCACGGAGCUGGACCCAUUGAUAGCAAGAGUGGCCUACGACUCCCUAGUGUACUUCUCCUCCUUAAACUGGAAAGAAGAGAAACAGUCAAGGCAUGGAUCUCACAGUCCAGAUUGGAGCCAACAAACCUCUGCUGGUCAAAUGAAGCCACAAAGCAGACAAGGAAACUGAGGCUCAAGGACAUUACCUAACAUCUGCAAGGCCACAAAUUGAGAAAACUGGAAAUCAGGUCUAUCCUGUGCUACAUAAGAAUAAGUAGUUGCAAUACAGGCUGAGAGAGGCUGCUGGGCCAUGGUGACCUAACAUGGUCGGAGCUGGGGGAACAUAUUUGCGAUUGCAUCUCACCAUCCCUCCAACCUCCUGCUGUCGCUUUCCAUUGACAAACACAACAGGAAGCCAAGAACAAGGAAGCAGGAAAGCCAGAGGACAAAGUGCGAGCAACGAUGGAGAAGAUGCAGUAACACUGCAGUAAGUGCCAGAAAAGAAAUGUGAGGUUUCACGAAGUGAAAAUUGCUUUUCCUUCCAUCCAGCUCAUGCCUGCCCUGUGCAGGGGCUUCUUAGACAGCUGUGAAGGACUGCAAGUGAUAGUUACAAAUAUAACCAAGUAGCUGUGAACGUGGAUUUGUGGCCAUGUUGCUCUGGGAAUUGGAACCCAGCAAUGAAUGUGACCACAGCAAUUGACUUCAAGUCUUUCUCACCUCCUGUAAGUGGGAAACAAAGUAAUGCUACCCACCCGAUGGGGUUGUAAGGAUUCAACUGGAGAAUUUUUGUGAAAUGCUUGGCCCAGACUCUAUAGUCAUUAAGAAUUCUGUUGAUUACAAGCUACAAUAAUUAUAUGCUGACUUCUAAAAAUAAGCUCAAAAUUUUAAAUGUGGUAUAAAACCAUAAAAUUUACCAUUUUAAAAUUUACAAUUCAGUAGUGUUCAGUAUGUUCACAUUGUUGUAAAACAGAAUUCAGAACUUUUUCAUCCUGUAAACUGAGACUUCAUUUUAAAAGAAUAGUUUUAAAUUUACAGGAAAAUUGAAAAGACAGUACAGAGAAUUCUCAUAUGCCCAUCACCCAAUUCCCUCACAUUAACAUCAUGUGGUAUAUUUGCUGUAACUAUUGUUUGCUAAAGCCAAUACUUUAUCCAGAUUUUCUUAGGUUUCCUUUAGCUUUUCUGUUCUAAGAUCCUAUCCAGUGUUCAGCAUGUCACCUAGUUGUCGUGUCUCUUCAGCUUCCCCUUGGAUGUGACAGUUUCUCAGACUCCUCAUUUUUGAUAACCUGGACCGUUUUGAGAAGAACCUGUGAGAAUGAAAGCUUUUGGUUUUAAUAAAGUCCAUCUCAUGAAUAUUUUCUUUCACGGACAAUGAUUAGAUGAUUUUACAACUAGAAACUCACCAUUAAACACAAGUUCACAUUGCUUCACAGCUUUGCUGUUUUCUGGCAGUUUUAUAGUUUUGUAUUUUAUAUGUAACAUGUAGAAAGCUGUACUUCUGUGUAAUUGCACUUACAGCUUCAUUAUAGCACUUGCAAUCUCAUGUUGAAGAUGUGGAGAGAAGAGAACCUUUAUAGGUUUGUAGCAGGACUGCAAUUAGUGCAAUUAAUGCAGCCAUUGAUGCAUCAAUUAGUGCAGCCAUUAAUGAAAGCAUGAAGGUUUCUCAAAAAAACUUAAACAUAGACCUAGCAUAUGAUCCAGUGCUAGCUCUACAGUAUAUCCGAAAGAAAUGGAAUCGGUAUGGCAAGGAGGCAACUGCACACACACAUCCAUUGCAGCACUAAUCAUGAUACGCAAGUUGGAGAAUCAACCUGUGUUCAUCAAGAGACAGGUAAAGAAAAUGGGCCCAUGUGUGCACAGUGGAAUAUGGUCUGGCUUCCACAGAGAAGAAAACCCGGGCAUUUGCAGGAACGUGGAAGGAAUUGGAUGACCUUAUGUUAAGUGAAAUAAGCCAGGCACAGAGAGACAAGUACCACACCAUCUCAUUUCUCUGUGGACUCUGAAAAUGUCAAACUCGAGGAAGCAGAGCGGAGUGACAGUUAACAGUCAUGGAAGUGGACGUGGGAGCAGGACUGGGGAGACGUCUGUCAAAGGGUGCAAAAUUUCUGUUAGAUGGAAGGAGUGAGUUCAAAAAAUCUGCUGUGGAACAUGGUGAGGACAGCUGAUAACAAUGUGUUGUAUCCUAAGAGCAGUGCAGAUUUUAACUAUUCUCACCCAAAUAAUGGAUAAGUAUGUAAAAUAAUGCAUUUGCAAUUAGUUUGAUUUAGCCACUACACAGUGAAUAUAUAUUUCAGAACCUAUGGUAGAUACCAUAAAUAUAAUACAUUCUUUCAAUUUAAAAAUAAUUUAAAAGAAAAUCUUUGUAUAUUAAGAUAAAAAUAUAUUAAAAACUUUGUUGUAUUAUUAAAUAAAAUAUUUUUGUCUUUAUG